Molecule: ribosomal RNA, 468 nt
Filed under: uncultured bacterium
Lineage: Bacteria
Description: partial 16S ribosomal RNA
Rfam family: Bacterial small subunit ribosomal RNA
Source: RNAcentral
GACGAACGCUGGCGGCGUGCUUAACACAUGCAAGUCGAACGGAAAGGCCCUGCUUUUGUGGGGUGCUCGAGUGGCGAACGGGGGAGUAACACGUGAGUAACCUGCCCUUGACUUUGGGAUAACUUAAGGAAACUGGGGCUAAUACCGGAUAGGAGCUCCUGCUGCAUGGUGGGGGUUGGAAAGUUUCGGCGGUUGGGGAUGGACUAGCGGCUUAUCAGCUUGUUGGUGGGGUAGUGGCUUACCAAGGCUUGGACGGGUAGCCGGCCUGAGAGGGUGACCUGCCACAUUGGGACUGGGAUACGGCCCAGACUCCUACGGGAGGCAGCAGUGCGGAAUAUUGCACAAUGGGCGGAAGCCUGAUGCAGCAACGCCGCGUGCGGGAUGACGGCCUUCGGGUUGUAAUCCGCUUUCGCCUGUGACGAAGCGUGAGUGACGGUAAUGGGUAAAGAAGCACCGGCUAACUACGUG